Molecule: ribosomal RNA, 468 nt
Filed under: uncultured bacterium
Lineage: Bacteria
Description: partial 16S ribosomal RNA
Rfam family: Bacterial small subunit ribosomal RNA
Source: RNAcentral
GACGAACGCUGGCGGCGUGCUUAACACAUGCAAGUCGAACGGAAAGGCCCUGCUUUUGUGGGGUGCUCGAGUGGCGAACGGGUGAGUAACACGUGAGUAACCUGCCCUUGUCUUUGGGAGAACUUCAGGAAACUGGGGCGAAUACCGGAUAGGAGCUCCUGCUGCAGGGUGGGGGUGGGAAAGUUUCGGCGGUUGGGGAUGGACUCGCGGCUUAUCAGCUGGUUGGGGGGGUAGUGGCUUACAAGGGCUUUGACGGGUAGCCGGCCUGGGAGGGUGACCGGCGACAUUGCGCCUGAGGUACGGACCAGACUCCUACGGGCGGCAGCAGUGGGGAGUAUGACACAAUGGGCGGAAGCCUGAUACAGCAACGCCGCGUGCGGGAUGCCGGCCUUCGGGUUGUAAACCGCUUUCGCCUGUGACGAAGCGUGAGUGACGGUAAUGGGUCAAGAAGCACCGGCUAACUACGUG